AUGGCUCAGAUUGAACGCUGGCGGCAGGCCUAACACAUGCAAGUCGAGCGGAUGACGGGAGCUUGCUCCUUGAUUCAGCGGCGGACGGGUGAGUAAUGCCUAGGAAUCUGCCUGGUAGUGGGGGACAACGUUUCGAAAGGAACGCUAAUACCGCAUACGUCCUACGGGAGAAAGCAGGGGACCUUCGGGCCUUGCGCUAUCAGAUGAGCCUAGGUCGGAUUAGCUAGUUGGUGGGGUAAUGGCUCACCAAGGCGACGAUCCGUAACUGGUCUGAGAGGAUGAUCAGUCACACUGGAACUGAGACACGGUCCAGACUCCUACGGGAGGCAGCAGUGGGGAAUAUUGGACAAUGGGCGAAAGCCUGAUCCAGCCAUGCCGCGUGUGUGAAGAAGGUCUUCGGAUUGUAAAGCACUUUAAGUUGGGAGGAAGGGCAGUAAGYUAAUACCUUGCUGUUUUGACGUUACCGACAGAAUAAGCACCGGCUAACUCUGUGCCAGCAGCCGCGGUAAUACAGAGGGUGCAAGCGUUAAUCGGAAUUACUGGGCGUAAAGCGCGCGUAGGUGGUUUGUUAAGUUGGAUGUGAAAGCCCCGGGCUCAACCUGGGAACUGCAUCCAAAACUGGCAAGCUAGAGUACGGUAGAGGGUGGUGGAAUUUCCUGUGUAGCGGUGAAAUGCGUAGAUAUAGGAAGGAACACCAGUGGCGAAGGC
This 708-nucleotide ribosomal RNA is filed under the name Pseudomonas sp. 120516_NH_C2_E9. RNAcentral describes it as "bacterial SSU rRNA". It matches the Rfam family "Bacterial small subunit ribosomal RNA", at positions 19 to 722 of the family's 1533-position model. The record is from RNAcentral. Lineage: Bacteria; Pseudomonadati; Pseudomonadota; Gammaproteobacteria; Pseudomonadales; Pseudomonadaceae.